GGGGGUGAGUGUGUCCCGGUGGAUGCCCCGGUCUUCAAAACCGGUGGUCGGCUGUUCAGCAGGCGACGGUGGGUUCGACUCCCAUUCACUCCCG
RNAcentral lists this transfer RNA (94 nucleotides) under Anaerolineaceae bacterium. RNAcentral's name for it is "tRNA-Sec". It matches the Rfam family "Selenocysteine transfer RNA". RNAcentral also lists the same sequence under 1 other name. Lineage: Bacteria; Bacillati; Chloroflexota; Anaerolineae; Anaerolineales; Anaerolineaceae. The record is from RNAcentral.